This is a long non-coding RNA of Dreissena polymorpha, 360 nucleotides long. RefSeq lists it as uncharacterized. Lineage: Eukaryota; Metazoa; Mollusca; Bivalvia; Myida; Dreissenidae. The record is from RefSeq and is a predicted model, not a curated record. The transcript has 3 exons.
GUGUUGUGGCAUAGAAUGACGCGGUAACUGUGCUUUUGUGAAAAGGCGAAUAUUGGUACAGAUUUUUUCCAGAUCAAUAUGGUAUUACACACACCGAAGGUGCUAGUUGGAAUACAUUUCAUACUUCUGUUAUCUCCUGUUUACGCGAGCGUUCAUUUUCAAACGUUAAGGGUUGACUGUGAGCCAUUAUGUCGGAAAAUACAACCCUUUACCGGCUAUUGUCCUGUAUAUGGGUCAUGCCAGUGGUACUGCCAUGAAAAACAGGCAGAGUGUCCAACAAACACCAGAUACCAUUGUGCUCGAAACUUUAAUGACCAGGACAGCUUUGUUGCGGCGUGUGCACAGGAAACAUUCUGUCGG